GGUUAGCUCAAAAGAUUGACCCAGCUUUAAGUCCCGACUGCCUAAGUAAUAAUGGAGGCAACUAUUCAAGUAAUCAUUCAGGUAGAUAUGGAAGAACAACUUUUCCCCUAUGCCUUCCGCCACUGAUGAAGGAGAGAAUUUUAUGAAGUUGUUCAGCGUAAAUGAUAAACCACCAUUAUUUCAUUUUGUUUAUCCAUAAGAUAAUUAAUUUUAGAGAAAUGCAAAUAAAUAAGACAAUAUAGAUACAAAAAUGAAAAUAAUGAAAAUCGAAUAACAUACAAGCUUGAAGCUUUUCAAUGAAAAAGUUUCCGCCUGUCACAUGAAUUAAAUAAACCCAAAUGCAGCAACUUGCAGAUACCAAGAAAACUUAACAACGAAACAGUAAAUUUCUAAGAAAAGUAAACAAGCCAAUAACACAUAUCGCAAUUUUACUAUGAAAACUGAAUAACUAACCUUGAAGAUUAGACAUGCUGCCAAUCUGAGGUGGAAUCUCCCCAAACAGAUUAUUCACAUUAAGAUACAAAUCAGUGAGAUCAGUUAGCUCAGCUAUCUCUUUCGGUAUGUCCCCAGUAAGAGCAUUGAAAUGCAGAUACA
Molecule: unclassified non-coding RNA, 594 nt
Filed under: Hevea brasiliensis (rubber tree)
Lineage: Eukaryota; Viridiplantae; Streptophyta; Magnoliopsida; Malpighiales; Euphorbiaceae
Source: RNAcentral